Molecule: ribosomal RNA, 269 nt
Filed under: uncultured bacterium
Lineage: Bacteria
Description: partial 16S ribosomal RNA
Rfam family: Bacterial small subunit ribosomal RNA
Source: RNAcentral
CCUUGCCGGCGACCGGCGCACGGGUGAGUAACACGUAUGCAACCUGCCCCUUCAGGGGGACAACCUUCCGAAAGGGAGGCUAAUCCCGCGUAUAUCGGUUUCGGGCAUCCGAGAUCGAGGAAAGAUUCAUCGGAAGAGGAUGGGCAUGCGGCGCAUUAGCUAGACGGCGGGGUAACGGCCCACCGUGGCGACGAUGCGUAGGGGUUCUGAGAGGAAGGUCCCCCACACUGGUACUGAGACACGGACCAGACUCCUACGGAAGGCAGCAG